AUGAGGGGAGAUCGCAUCAACGAUCCUGUGAACAUUAGCUCUGAUGAGAACGCGGACAGCAGCUCUGAUGAAGCUGUGGACACGAGCUCUGAUGAACCCGCGUACACCAGCUCUGAUGAAGGUGUGGACAUGAGCUCUGAUGAACGGGCGUACAGCAGCUCUGAUGAUGGCGUGGACACAAGCUCUGAUGAAGGUAUUUUUAGUAAUGGCAUGUGCUACCGUAUGAAGAAAAAGAAGCUUCAGAAGACGUGCAAGGAUGUGUGUGACUGCCCUAGAGAGUACUCAGUUGGAUAUGAUCCUAAUUCUGAAGCCGACUAG
RNAcentral lists this ribosomal RNA (318 nucleotides) under Triticum aestivum (bread wheat). Its description in RNAcentral is "partial small subunit ribosomal RNA". Lineage: Eukaryota; Viridiplantae; Streptophyta; Magnoliopsida; Poales; Poaceae. The record is from RNAcentral.